This 1536-nucleotide ribosomal RNA is filed under the name Klebsiella pneumoniae. RNAcentral's name for it is "bacterial SSU rRNA". It matches the Rfam family "Bacterial small subunit ribosomal RNA". The record is from RNAcentral. Lineage: Bacteria; Pseudomonadati; Pseudomonadota; Gammaproteobacteria; Enterobacterales; Enterobacteriaceae.
UUGAAGAGUUUGAUCAUGGCUCAGAUUGAACGCUGGCGGCAGGCCUAACACAUGCAAGUCGAGCGGUAGCACAGAGAGCUUGCUCUCGGGUGACGAGCGGCGGACGGGUGAGUAAUGUCUGGGAAACUGCCUGAUGGAGGGGGAUAACUACUGGAAACGGUAGCUAAUACCGCAUAAUGUCGCAAGACCAAAGUGGGGGACCUUCGGGCCUCAUGCCAUCAGAUGUGCCCAGAUGGGAUUAGCUAGUAGGUGGGGUAACGGCUCACCUAGGCGACGAUCCCUAGCUGGUCUGAGAGGAUGACCAGCCACACUGGAACUGAGACACGGUCCAGACUCCUACGGGAGGCAGCAGUGGGGAAUAUUGCACAAUGGGCGCAAGCCUGAUGCAGCCAUGCCGCGUGUGUGAAGAAGGCCUUCGGGUUGUAAAGCACUUUCAGCGGGGAGGAAGGCGGUGAGGUUAAUAACCUCAUCGAUUGACGUUACCCGCAGAAGAAGCACCGGCUAACUCCGUGCCAGCAGCCGCGGUAAUACGGAGGGUGCAAGCGUUAAUCGGAAUUACUGGGCGUAAAGCGCACGCAGGCGGUCUGUCAAGUCGGAUGUGAAAUCCCCGGGCUUAACCUGGGAACUGCAUUCGAAACUGGCAGGCUAGAGUCUUGUAGAGGGGGGUAGAAUUCCAGGUGUAGCGGUGAAAUGCGUAGAGAUCUGGAGGAAUACCGGUGGCGAAGGCGGCCCCCUGGACAAAGACUGACGCUCAGGUGCGAAAGCGUGGGGAGCAAACAGGAUUAGAUACCCUGGUAGUCCACGCCGUAAACGAUGUCGAUUUGGAGGUUGUGCCCUUGAGGCGUGGCUUCCGGAGCUAACGCGUUAAAUCGACCGCCUGGGGAGUACGGCCGCAAGGUUAAAACUCAAAUGAAUUGACGGGGGCCCGCACAAGCGGUGGAGCAUGUGGUUUAAUUCGAUGCAACGCGAAGAACCUUACCUGGUCUUGACAUCCACAGAACUUUCCAGAGAUGGAUUGGUGCCUUCGGGAACUGUGAGACAGGUGCUGCAUGGCUGUCGUCAGCUCGUGUUGUGAAAUGUUGGGUUAAGUCCCGCAACGAGCGCAACCCUUAUCCUUUGUUGCCAGCGGUUCGGCCGGGAACUCAAAGGAGACUGCCAGUGAUAAACUGGAGGAAGGUGGGGAUGACGUCAAGUCAUCAUGGCCCUUACGACCAGGGCUACACACGUGCUACAAUGGCAUAUACAAAGAGAAGCGACCUCGCGAGAGCAAGCGGACCUCAUAAAGUAUGUCGUAGUCCGGAUUGGAGUCUGCAACUCGACUCCAUGAAGUCGGAAUCGCUAGUAAUCGUAGAUCAGAAUGCUACGGUGAAUACGUUCCCGGGCCUUGUACACACCGCCCGUCACACCAUGGGAGUGGGUUGCAAAAGAAGUAGGUAGCUUAACCUUCGGGAGGGCGCUUACCACUUUGUGAUUCAUGACUGGGGUGAAGUCGUAACAAGGUAACCGUAGGGGAACCUGCGGUUGGAUCACCUCCUU